AUUACGUACACACACCGUUAGGAUUUGGUUAGAUUUGUAAUUAAAUCUUAUUUGGAUAAUAAUUAAUAUUUAAAUCUGUUUGAGAUAAAUUAAGAUUUAAAUAUUAAUUAGAGGAUAAACCUAACUAGAUUAGGAUUAAUAUUUAAAUCUAUUAGAGAUUGAUUAAGAUAGAUUUAGAUAUUAAUUGGAGUAGAAAUCCUAAAUAUAUUAGGAUUGGGGUACGUUUUGGUGGAGCCUUAUAAAUAGCUCUUUGUGGGUUUGCUUUUUGAGUGAAGUAUCGGGAGAGAGAGAAAGAGUCUCUUGGGUUGCCGUACCAGAGAGAGAAAAAGAAAGAGAGAGUUAUUUAAUUAUGCUUUGAGUGCACCUAGUGCACAGGUGCAUGUAAAGAAUUGUCUUCUUUAUGGAUUUAUAGAAGAUGAGAGAAGAGUAGAAGAGAUUCAGAAAGAGGGCUCGGGUUGUAGCUACUCUGUGCAGAAGAGGAGUCAGGUGUAAUCUUCUCUUAUUUAAUGAAUCUUAUUUUACCUGCAUAUUUUUCUCUUUUAUGAUUGUAUCAGCUUUUGCUGAGGAGACGGGUUUAUGGUAAAAACCCGAUUUGACGUUUCCGUUGCGGAAUCCCAACAAUCGAUACCGGAUCCACAGCAGUCAGUAUCGGAGCGGGUUGCGGAUUCACGAGAUCCGGUACCGCGGGGCGAGUAUCGGAUUCCCAACAAGUGGUAUCAGAGCUGAAGGUUAUCGAUCCGAGGGAGAGAUCGACGAAGAUGGCCACGAAAUUCGAAAUCGAGAAGUUCGACGGCAAGAACAAUUUUGGAUUGUGGCAAAUUAAAGUACGAGCGAUCCUCGUACAGCAAGAAUUGGACGAGACGUUGAACGGGAAGGAGGCGAAGCCGGCGGAGGUCACGGAUGCGGCAUGGACGAAGAUGGAGCGGAAGGCGCUAAGUACGCUUCAUCUAUUAUUAGCAGAUGAGGUUCUUUACAAUGUAGCCGGCGAGACGACACCGGCGAAAUUGUGGAAGAAAUUGGAAGAUCUGUACAUGACCAAAUCCCUGACGAACAGAUUGUAUCUAAAGCAGCGACUGUUUACGUUGCGGAUGCAAGAAGCGGCGAGCCUACAUGAUCAUCUAAAUGAGUUCAACAAGAUGGUGGCCCAGUUGACUAGCAUCGGAGUCAAUCUGGAUGACGAAGAUAAGGCGCUGAUUUUACUAUCUUCGCUACCGGCGACAUAUGAGCAUCUGGUGACCACAUUACUUUAUGGCAAGGAGACCAUAAGCGUGGAGGCGGUCACGGCGGCGCUUCUCUCGAACGAGAUGCGGAAGAUGACUCAGGGGUCCGGCACGCAAAGUCAGGAUAUAGGACUGGUGGUGACUGCGAAGAAGGAUGCGAGAAUAUCGACGACCGGAUAUCGACAGAAGAAGCCGCUAUCUGAGGUAGAGUGCUUUUACUGUCACAGGAAAGGGCAUAUCAAGCGCAAUUGUCGAAAACUUCAGGAUGAUCUGAAAGAGUUAAAGCGACAGAAGGAGAAAACUGUCGUGAACCAGGAUGAGACGGUAUCAGCGACGGCACAGACGGCAGAGUCAGAGAUGUUCGAUUCUGAUGUGCUAUAUGCGGCGACCGGAGGUGCAAAAAUUUCGGACGAUGCGUGGGUGCUCGAUUCAGCGUGUUCUUUUCACGUAUGCCCGGAGAAGGAGUCUUUUGCCACCUAUAAGGCGAUCAAAGGUGGAAAGGCGCUGAUGGGGAACGGGACAGCGUGCAAAGUAUUGGGAGUCCGCACGGUGAAGAUCCGAAUGCACGAUGGGGUCGUGAGGACGCUGACAGGUGUUCGGCACGUUCCUGGAUUAAAGCGGAAUUUGAUCUCGUUAGGCGCAUUGGACUCGAAGGGUUGCGAUAUUUCGGCUUCAGGUGGAGCUAUGAGGGUCCGAAAACGAGAUCGGGUCGUGUGCGAGGCGAACAAGCGUGGGAAAUUAUACGUUCUGAACGGAAGCACAGUCAGAACGAGAGUGAAGAUCGUUUGGGUUUCAAAAGUUCGCGGAGGUGCAGUCGCUCGAAACGGAGCAACGGAUGCGGCGACAUCGAGCGGAGGAGACAAGCUCAAGGUGGAGCUUGCAUGGUGAGCUCGACGUGAUGGUUGAAGAUUACAAAUUCAAUCAAGGUGGAGAUUGUUAGGAUUUGGUUAGAUUUGUAAUUGAAUCUUAUUUGGAUAAUAAUUAAUAUUUAAAUCUGUUUGAGAUAAAUUAAGAUUUAAAUAUUAAUUAGAGGAUAAACCUAACUAGAUUAGGAUUAAUAUUUAAAUCUAUUAGAGAUUGAUUAAGAUAGAUUUAGAUAUUAAUUGGAGUAGAAAUCCUAAAUAUAUUAGGAUUGGGGUACGUUUUGGUGGAGCCUUAUAAAUAGCUCUUUGUGGGUUUGCUUUUUGAGUGAAGUAUCGGGAGAGAGAGAAAGAGUCUCUUGGGUUGCCGUACCAGAGAGAGAAAAAGAAAGAGAGAGUUAUUUAAUUAUGCUUUGAGUGCACCUAGUGCACAGGUGCAUGUGAAGAAUUGUCUUCUUUAUGGAUUUAUAGAAGAUGAGAGAAGAGUAGAAGUGAUUCAGAAAGACGGCUCGGGUUGUAGCUACUCUGUGCAGAAGAGGAGUCAGGUGUAAUCUUCUCUUAUUUAAUGAAUCUUAUUUUACCUGCAUAUUUUUCUCUUUUAUGAUUGUAUCAGCUUUUGCUGAGGAGACGGGUUUAUGGUAAAAACCCGAUUUGACGUUUUCGUUGCGGAAUCCCAACAAUCGAUACUGGAUCCACAGCAGUCGG
This 2785-nucleotide long non-coding RNA is filed under the name Ananas comosus (pineapple). RNAcentral's name for it is "long non-coding RNA (ACOM_LNC004706)". Lineage: Eukaryota; Viridiplantae; Streptophyta; Magnoliopsida; Poales; Bromeliaceae. The record is from RNAcentral.